Molecule: ribosomal RNA, 495 nt
Filed under: uncultured bacterium
Lineage: Bacteria
Description: partial 16S ribosomal RNA
Rfam family: Bacterial small subunit ribosomal RNA
Source: RNAcentral
GACGAACGCUGGCGGCGUGCCUAAUACAUGCAAGUAGAACGCUGAAGGAGGAGCUUGCUUCUCUGGAUGAGUUGCGAACGGGUGAGUAACGCGUAGGUAACCUGCCUGGUAGCGGGGGAUAACUAUUGGAAACGAUAGCUAAUACCGCAUAAUAGUAGAUGUUGCAUGACAUUAGCUUAAAAGGUGCAAUUGCAUCACUACCAGAUGGACCUGCGUUGUAUUAGCUAGUUGGUGGGGUAACGGCUCACCAAGGCGACGAUACAUAGCCGACCUGGGAGGGUGAUCGGCCACACUGGGACUGAGACACGGCCCAGACUCCUACGGGAGGCAGCAGUAGGGAAUCUUCGGCAAUGGACGGAAGUCUGACCGAGCAACGCCGCGUGAGUGAAGAAGGUUUUCGGAUCGUAAAGCUCUGUUGUAAGAGAAGAACGAGUGUGAGAGUGGAAAGUUCACACUGUGACGGUAUCUUACCAGAAAGGGACGGCUAACUACGUG